AUGAACGCUGGCGGCGUGCCUCAUACAUGCAAGUCGAGCGCACAGACGAGGAGCUUGCUCCUCUGACGUUAGCGGCGGACGGGUGAGUAACACGUGGAUAACCUACCUAUAAGACUGGGAUAACUUCGGGAAACCGGAGCUAAUACCGGAUAACAUGUUGAACCGCAUGGUUCAACAGUGAAAGACGGUUUUGCUGUCACUUAUAGAUGGAUCCGCGCCGCAUUAGCUAGUUGGUAAGGUAACGGCUUACCAAGGCAACGAUGCGUAGCCGACCUGAGAGGGUGAUCGGCCACACUGGAACUGAGACACGGUCCAGACUCCUACGGGAGGCAGCAGUAGGGAAUCUUCCGCAAUGGGCGAAAGCCUGACGGAGCAACGCCGCGUGAGUGAAGAAGGUCUUCGGAUCGUAAAACUCUGUUAUUAGGGAAGAACAAAUGCGUAAGUAACUAUGCACGUCUUGACGGUACCUAAUCAGAAAGCCACGGCUAACUACGUG
Molecule: ribosomal RNA, 496 nt
Filed under: uncultured bacterium
Lineage: Bacteria
Description: partial 16S ribosomal RNA
Rfam family: Bacterial small subunit ribosomal RNA
Source: RNAcentral